RNAcentral lists this ribosomal RNA (253 nucleotides) under uncultured bacterium. Its description in RNAcentral is "partial 16S ribosomal RNA". It matches the Rfam family "Bacterial small subunit ribosomal RNA", at positions 524 to 776 of the family's 1533-position model. The record is from RNAcentral.
UACGUAGGGUGCGAGCGUUGUCCGGAAUUAUUGGGCGUAAAGAGCUCGUAGGCGGCUUGUCACGUCGGGUGUGAAAGCCCGGGGCUUAACCCCGGGUCUGCAUUCGAUACGGGCUAGCUAGAGUGUGGUAGGGGAGAUCGGAAUUCCUGGUGUAGCGGUGAAAUGCGCAGAUAUCAGGAGGAACACCGGUGGCGAAGGCGGGUCUCUGGGCCGAUAUCGACGCUGAGGAGCGAAAGCGUGGGGAGCGAACAGG